This 1569-nucleotide unclassified non-coding RNA is filed under the name Leishmania donovani. RNAcentral's name for it is "gene:unknown". Lineage: Eukaryota; Euglenozoa; Kinetoplastea; Trypanosomatida; Trypanosomatidae. The record is from RNAcentral.
CGUCUGCGUAGGGUCGAUGAGGAGAAGCAGCGCGCUCACGGUGCCCUGACAGGCGCGGAAAGCCUUAGCGCCCGUACCGCUUGCUCGAGUCUCGCAUUUUUUUUUCCGAUGGAUGAGGAGAAGCAGGAGUUGGGGGUGUUAACGGACACUGCGACUGUUGCCGCUGACACGAUCCAUGCUUGCAUGCCUGUUGCUCGCCUUUUAUCAUUCGUGAAGUGCCCCAGGCUGAGAGCAGUGGCUGCUCGCACGAGUGUGGCCCGUCAAAGGACCCUCCUCCGCUACUCCUACAUGGCACGGCUUCAAUCAACGUUGUGCUAUGGUGACACCGCGUGUUCGGGUGGUGCUGGCCGUAAACUGCAGGAACGCCCGUGUGCACCUUCACGCCAAAGCAGCCGCAGCUGUCGUGGACACCCCAACAUCCGCAGACAACGGAGACACGCUCGAGGAGGCCGAUCUCCUGCCCCUCGACUCUACAGUGCUGCGGCGCUGCACCGGGCUGCGUUUCCCCGCAGCCAAGCGAGGAGACCAUCUGGCGCCUUUGAUGUGGAGAGUUGCACACGCCGGAUGGCGGUGUCGUCACAGUGCUUCGCCAGCUCCCAGGCCGGCAUUCACGCAUCCGCCCUUUCGGAGCCUUACACGCACACACCUCCGCCAUACGUAGCGGCCGCGUGCGCUUCACAUUUCAGCUUGUCGGUGGCCAUCGUGACUUGGUGCACAACGGCGAAGCUGACAAGCUUGCAAAACCAGCCAUGCCAGAGGCGCCGACGCCAGCUGCACGGAUGGAGGAUCUGGUCGCCGGUCUCGGACGCCAGGCAGUAUCCCCCGAAACCGCGUCACACGAUGCGACGCGCUGAGACAAGACAUGCUUGACGGCCGCUCUUCCACACCAAAGAACGAAGAUGCUGAGCUUGCGAGAGGACUGGAGGCCUUCCUCGCGUAGCUCCAUACGGGCACCUGUCCGCACUGUGGAUUCCUGCAGCAGCGGGUAACUGGCAGUGACAAAAUGAAGAUUGUGUGCUGCCUGCUAUUCCUCUAGCACCGUGGUAACCGCACUUCCACCAGAGCCUCCGCCCUGGAGCAGGACCGUGGACGUGGACGGCGUGGAUGGAGGCGCGCGGCCCGGCCGAGUCCGUGCUGCGCCGGUGGCGCAGCGGGUGUGCGAGGAAGAGGGCCGAGGAGGGACAGGAGGAGCCCGUGAGACGCACGGCCCGCCUCGACGGCAUGACGGCUCGCGCUAGAGGGCCCGGAUGCAGCUGUGGCGCGGCAGGGGCAGGAGAGAGGUGUGGCUGUGCGCGUAUGUCUGCUGGCGUGCUCGUGGUGAAAUGGGCACGUGGGCAAAAACAAAACAAACAAACCAACAAAGAAAAAACAUUGUUGCGCUCUUUUGAUGUCGAGGGACGAGUGUUGCUCGUGCUCUCCUCAUCAGAGUUCCCUGUGAGCACUGUUGCCGCCGCGACGCGGGACGUUGGAAAGCGAUGUGUAUGCUCUCUCUUUUGAAGCGACUCUUGACUCUUGUAGGAUGUGUGGCACGCGUAGUAACAUCGGUGAAAAGGUGGCGACACCUGGCAC